Panonychus citri (citrus red mite) is the source of this 1318-nucleotide long non-coding RNA. RefSeq lists it as uncharacterized. The transcript is spliced from 3 exons. Lineage: Eukaryota; Metazoa; Arthropoda; Arachnida; Trombidiformes; Tetranychidae. The record is from RefSeq and is a predicted model, not a curated record.
GCGCUUCUUAAUCUUUUUUUCCUCUUCCAUUAUUUUCCUCUGUCUUUUCCUCUGUCUCCUUUUCUCGCCUUCUCUCUUUAAUGUUUACUUUUAUUCGAAUAUCCAAACUACGCCCCCAUGCGAUUAAUCAUAGAAAUUGAGGGAAAGAGAGAAAAGAAAACAGAGACAUGGUGACAUCUUCUAUCUCUCAAUGUGACAAUUUAACCUCUUGUUUAUCUUAAUCAAUGAUUUUCUUUUCUCUCCUAAUUAAUAUUAAUUUUUUCUUCUUUUUUCUUUCCAACUUUUAAUUUCUUCCUCUAAUCUUCAGUCAUCACCAUUUAAUUUAAUUCCGCAUUCUACUUGAGAAUUAGAAUAAUCUGACUUUUAUUGUUCUUUUCUCUUUAAGACUUUUCCUUCUAUUCCAGUGUCAACUAAUAUUCUAACAAUUUUAUUCUAUUCUCUUCUACUUUUACUUCAUUUUUCUCUUUGUAAAUUUAUGUCUUUUCAUUGUCUUCUUCAUUCAUAUCAUCAUAAUCAUCUCUCUCUCUCUCUCUCUCUCUCUCUCUCUCUCUCUCUCUCUCUCUCUUUGUGUCUUCCCUUGGAUUCUGAUUAAGCCAAUGUCAAGAUAUGAUAACAUUUUGUAUACAAAUGAUGUGGUGAUGAGAUAAAAUCUUUGCAACAUCAAACAAUUUUUCUACUUCAAUGGUACAAUGGUUUGACUACAUUAUGGGUUAUUUGAUAGGCUUCACAAGAAGAUAAAUCAUCAUCAUCAUCAUCUUUAUCUUCAUCGUCAUCGUCAUCGUAAUUCUGAUCAUCAUUAAGAUUUUUUUUUCUCCCACUUCUUGGAUAAUAAACCUUGACUUCCGUUGGCAGAAAAAAAAACUCAAUAACAUGAACCAGGAAAAACUAGAGGAAAAAAUUACAGAGAAAAAAGUAAACAAAUCAGAUCCAAUUGCAUGGUAAUGGUUGACACAUGUAAUUAAAAUUCUCUGUCAGGAAGAUUCUUGGUGACUCUUGAUUGUACCGAAUUGGUGUCGGAUUAGUUGAAGAUUCAAUUUCCAUCAUUUCAAUUGAAUUGUUAACAAUCAAUUUGAUUUUGUUUUUAUUUUCUUUGUUCUUUUUUUUUUCUUCAGUUUUUGAGUUUUCUCUUUCUCCAAGUCUUAUUACAAAUUGGAUAAUAUUAUUAUUCUCUCACUGAGUUUAUCAUAAUAAUUAUAAUAAUAAUUGAAUUUAUGGAUAAGUUCAUUUUCAUCACCAUAAGUUUGUCAGAAGAUUAAAUUACUCAGCUCAACAUGGAUAAUUAUCAAGGAUUAAAUAAUGUUUGUUCACCAUCGUCAAA